AGUUGUUAUCACUUUGAGUUGGCUUUUAAGUUGUCGGAUAUGAUGUAUUCUUUGCUUAGAAAUAUCAUUUAUCUAUUGCAUGAUCCAUCUAAAAGGCACUGUUAUUUACUCAGCUCUUUAUUUCUACCUAUACAAUGUUUUGUGGUGACACUAACUAGUGACAAGUUGAGAAUUUAUGUUUCUAGCUAUACAAUGUUAUGCUUAUUUUUAGAACUUUGUUUAGAAAACUCUGAGGAUCUUGUGUGUAUUUUAACCUUGAGUGAUUUAUCCUGCCAAGAUAUCCGACUUUGGCCUAGCAAAGAACGGUCCAACACAGGUUAUGGCAACAUAUGGCUAUGCUGCUCCAGAAUAUAUUGCCACAGGUGAAUCUUCCCAAACUUCAUUUAGUUGUUGAACUGAGAGAAAUCAGAAUAAAAUUUGUGAUCGCAGUGUAAUGAGUUGGUUAUUGCAGAGCACUUGGGUAAUGUAUCUCGUCUUAAAAAACUGGUGAGGGGGAUGCACAAACAUGUGUUGAACAGUUUUGAAAGUAUGCAAGGAUUUGAAGAGUGGCAGGUAAUUCAGUUGUUAUCACUUUGAGUUGGCUUUUAAGUUGUUGGAUAUGAUGUAUUCUUUGCUUAGAAAUAUCAUUUAUCUAUUGCAUGAUCCAUCUAAAAGGCACUGUUAUUUACUCAGCUCUUUAUUUCUACCUAUACAAUGUUUUGUGGUGACACUAACUAGUGACAAGUUGAGAAUUUAUGUUUCUAGCUAUACAAUGUUAUGCUUAUUUUUAGAACUUUGUUUAGAAAACUGAGAGGAU
RNAcentral lists this long non-coding RNA (796 nucleotides) under Salvia miltiorrhiza (redroot sage). RNAcentral describes it as "long non-coding RNA (SMIL_LNC011975)". Lineage: Eukaryota; Viridiplantae; Streptophyta; Magnoliopsida; Lamiales; Lamiaceae. The record is from RNAcentral.